UGUGGACCCUCCAGUUGAUAUUCCCAUAGGUAACUACUACUUUUCUAUCUACAAUCAAGGAUUUCUUUUGCUUGUUGAACAUAGACAACUAUUGAGAGAUUCUGUGGAUGAUUGAAGUGAGAUUUUUGAAGACAUUUUAAUGAUGUGUGGGGGGAGUUUGUGGGAUAACUAGAUUUGGGUUCAGUUUUCCUGAAUGCUGUGCUUUCUCUGUCUCCAAGAACAGCAUGGCCAGUUUCACCACCUGUAUCACAUCCUCUUAGGGUUAUGAUAAUGAAUGGGGGAAUUCACUGGGAAACAGUGGAAAAUGGUAUUUUCCAGGCCUCUGGAGGCCUGCCAGGGAACUAGAGCUCAGUCACCAGAGAUGGGUGGGGUUGGAGUCCCGAAGGCCCGCCUGCAUGACUGUGUUUGAGCAACUGACCUGGCAACGGGGUGGGCCUGACAAACAGUCUCCUCUGUCAUCUCUUCAGGCCACUAUGGUGCUGCUGAGGCUCCUGAUGCUUCUUUUUGCUCUGGUUGUCUCUGACCUCCACAGUCUGCCCUGGUUCAUAAAUGUGUCUGAACGCGAGGGUCCUGGAACCAUCCUUCAGUCUUUCUCCUUCAACUGCUCCUCCCACAUGCCUACCCUGGAAUUGGUCAAUGUGCAACCACCUACCACUUUCUUCAACCCACCCAGCCUGACCAAGUGGCAGGGGAUCUAUGUGGGAAAGGUGACUUUGAGCAGCUCAGCUCGGCUGGAUGCCCUUGCAGUAAACCACUAUGAGCUGCGGCUGCGAUAUACAUGUGGCAACAUUGUGAUGGAGGGACCACUCUUUGUGGAUGUGCAGCGGGACUCUGGCCAUAUCCAGUGUAUUGGUCGAUUUGCUAGCUCAGGUGGGGAAACCAUUCAGGUGCCAGAGACAGUCAAACCUGGGGCCCGGUUGUACACUCUGCUGCUCCCAGGCCUAGAAGUCCAGGGAACUCAGAUGAAUAUUAUCAGCGCCCAGGACCCUCCAUACUUCCCUGGACCUUUCUCCAUCAAUGAGCAGGGUUGGCUUCGGGCACCACCUCAGGGUCUCAAAGGCCAGGCUCAGAAGAUCUUCCAGCUGCAGAUCUCAGUGUCACUUGGACAAGGCCAAAGCUGCCAAAGAAUGCUGGUGGUAAAGAUUUUGCCUGCACCAUCCAGCCAGGUCUCCUUCCUACAGAAGGCCCAGAAUGUCACCAUUCCUGAAGACAAAAUCCCUGGGAGCAAGGUGGUUCAAGUCCAGGCUAGGGGCUUCAACUUGCGCUAUGAAAUCUUCUCUCCAGUGCCCAGUCCACUCUACUCCAUCGGAAGCGUGGAUGGGGUAGUCCAAACCACCAUGCCCCUAGAAUUGGCUCACUCCCGAGGUGCAGCGAUCACAAGGCUGCAGGUGAAGGCCUUUGAAAGGUUUCAGCCAUGGGCCAGUGCAGAGCUCGAUCUCACUGUGAAUGUGCUCUCUGUCAACCACUGGCCCCCACUCUGCAUCCCGGCUCUUCUGGUGACUCAAAUCCCGGAGACCACACCGGUGGGCACUGUGCUGAACACAAUCACUUGCACUGACCCAGACUCUGUUGGUGCCACCCUCAACUACCAGCUGUGGUUCCACAGCCCUCCUGGUCUUGCCAGUCUCUGCCUUCGUGACAGGGUCCUUGAGGUGAAUGCUACAUUGGACUGUGAUACUCCUGGGACCUGCUUCCAGCAUGCAGCCUCUAUUCUGGUGCUUGAUGGUGGUCAGCCCCAGAUGACCACUGAAGUUCCAGUACUGGUGAUGGUGACACCUGUCAAUGAGUUCACCCCAGCCUGUGCCCCACGCAUGUUCCGGGUUCAGGAAGAUGCAGGGCCUCACACACUGCUGGGCACUGUGGUGGGCACGGAUAUGGAUUACCCACACAACAGCAUUGAGUACUACACAUCUGAUGGAUCCUCUAUCUUUGCUGUGGAUCAUCUCAGAGAGAUUCACCUCCUGGGGACUCUGGAUUAUGAGCAGCAGAGGCUGUACAGACUGACUAUUCUGCUGAUUGACCAUGGCCAAGACUGGGACCCCACCUACCACCGCUCAGGUUCCUGUACCAUUACCAUUGAGGUUGAGGAUGUGAAUGACCAUCCCCCUGAGUGUGAGCCCCCAUUUCAGGAACUUACCAUCUAUACUACUCUGGGCCAUAGUGUGGAGGUGACCAAAGUAUCAUGCUGGAUACCCCAGGAGCCACAGCGCCUGGCCUUCUCCUACAGCAUCAUAGGAGGAGAUAGCAAGAACCAGUUCAGAUUGCAAGAGGCCAUCCUGGUGCACAAUGACUCUAUGUUGGGACCUCCUUGGCAAGAACAGCCUUGUACCUAUGAACUACUGAUCCGUGCGGCUGAUGCGGGUCCCUCCAUCCCCCACCUCAGCACCACAGUCACCAUCAUUGUGCAUCUAGUUCCCUGGAGGGCCAGCACCGUGGCCAUGAGCACCCAAAGAACCACAGUGCCCUCAGUGAUGACACCCCUGCUUGUAAGAUAUACAGAGACUUUCUGGCAGCCCGAACCCUGGUUUGUGGUGGUGCUCACAGCAACUGGUGCCCUUCUGCUUCUAGCUCUAGGAUGGCUGGUCAACAGGCUCCUUCAGAGAUUGACCCAGGUACUUCAGGCUCCAAGCAAAUCAGCCCAGGCUUUGAGGCUAAACAGCAUCCAGGGGAAUGAAGGAUCCAUUGAGUAGUUUGGAGGCACCAAGGAUGGAGAUGUCCCAGGUACCUAGCAGUGUCAUGAACUGGUACAGGCCAAGAUUACCUGUUCAACAUGAGUUCUAAAGCAUCUCUAAGGCGCUGGCUCUAAAGCAUCUACUUCACUGUGUGGAAUUUCUUCAUCACAUGAUCAUGUACUAUGAUUUCAAGUUGAUUCAAUAAUAAACAAAAUUACAAACAGAAUA
Non-coding RNA from Ictidomys tridecemlineatus (thirteen-lined ground squirrel), 2900 nucleotides. NCBI's taxonomy places the organism in Eukaryota, Metazoa, Chordata, Mammalia, Rodentia, Sciuridae. The record is from RefSeq and is a predicted model, not a curated record.